This is a long non-coding RNA of Spea bombifrons (plains spadefoot toad), 676 nucleotides long. RefSeq lists it as uncharacterized. The record is from RefSeq and is a predicted model, not a curated record. The transcript has 2 exons. Lineage: Eukaryota; Metazoa; Chordata; Amphibia; Anura; Pelobatidae.
GGGGCUGAAUUUUUUGGGGGUCUAUAAAAACAAAAUACUAAUCAUUUAAAAACCAUUCGUUAUUCUCCUCUGUUUUUUCUUCGUUACCCGUUUACAUUACUGCAAUUAUGCGUCCUGACGUUUUUAUUGGGCAUUCGUUUGAAUCCCUGAGCGCUGUUUGAUGGAAUUAAACUGGAUAUUUUGUAGUUAAACAGAUGGAACAUAAAAAAAAAUGAUGUUUCUAUCCGUGUCUUGAGGAAGAAUCGCUCAUAAUAUUGAAUAAUAAAUGGUUUGGAAUCCAUGCCAAGAAAUCCCAUUCUCUGAAUUUCCUUAAUUAGAAAAACAGGUAACUUUUGCAAAAACCACUAUUUUUGUAAUAAUCACUGUGAUUUUAACUCUUCGUGUUUUCUGGAACAUUUAUCUGGGUUAAAAAAAAAUAAUAAUAAUAAUUUGAAGCAUCUCUUUUCUACUGAUUUCUCUUAAUAUUUUAUGCCCGUCUCUGUCUUUUUUCCAAUGAUAAAAGAAAAUAAACAUUUUUAGCUUUUGAUACGGAACGUUUGAUUAUUCUAAGUCAGAACUAAAUUCCAAAGAGACGUCAGGAAAAUGUGAGGCUUUUUUUUUGUUUGUUUUUUUUGCACUUUUGGCUCAUAAUGCAACAAGGCUUUAUAAAUGGAGCAUUAGCUGUUCAUUCAGGAUU